CGUGAAAACAAUUAGAGGUGGGGCAAAGCACGACAGGAUACAAAGAUUGACCAUCCGGAUACACUUAGCGAUGGGAUAAAAGGAAUAGGACCUGAUACCUCCGAAUUUGCAGUUGGUUUUGGCAGCAAGAAGGUCUAGGGGUAAUGAUUAAUAGGGAUAAUUUGGGGGGCAUUAAUGAUUUAAUCUGUCAGGAGGUCGAAACUCGUUGGAGUCUAUGAACAGAUUAAACUUCUGCGUAAAAGCAUCCUGCACAAAGGAUGUGUGUUCAAUUAAAUCAAGCAAGCGAGAAGUCUAGGUGGAUCGUAAUGACUGAUCUAAGAAUACCAGUUCGUAGAUCAUUAAUCCUCUAAAAGGAUAGCCAGACUCAGUCGAUAUAAGGAUGACUGAUUGAAUACACACACUAAAACGAGGCAUACGGUAUGCGGUACGUACCUUGAGCGUCUACGGUUUCGUGCACGGAGCAUCGGUAUCGCUAGUUCCUGGCCUCGAG
This 490-nucleotide ribosomal RNA is filed under the name Acanthamoeba sp. EGM27. Its description in RNAcentral is "partial 18S ribosomal RNA". Lineage: Eukaryota; Discosea; Longamoebia; Acanthamoebidae. The record is from RNAcentral.